CAGUCGCACGGUAACACGUAGGGUGCAAGCGUUAAUCGGAAUUACUGGGCGUAAAGCGUGCGCAGGCGGUUAUAUAAGACAGAUGUGAAAUCCCCGGGCUCAACCUGGGAACUGCAUUUGUGACUGUAUAGCUAGAGUACGGCAGAGGGGGAUGGAAUUCCGCGUGUAGCAGUGAAAUGCGUAGAUAUGCGGAGGAACACCGAUGGCGAAGGCAAUCCCCUGGGCCUGUACUGACGCUCAUGCACGAAAGCGUGGGGAGCAAACAGGAUUAGAUACCCCCGUAGUCCCUGUCUCUUAUACA
Molecule: ribosomal RNA, 301 nt
Filed under: uncultured bacterium
Lineage: Bacteria
Description: partial 16S ribosomal RNA
Rfam family: Bacterial small subunit ribosomal RNA
Source: RNAcentral